GGAUGUGAGGGCAAUCUGGCUGUGACAUCUGUCACCUCAUUGAUAGCCAGGGUUGAUUCAGCUGAUCUGGCUGGCAAGGCAGGUGUCCCCUUCCUCCCUCACCGCUCCAUGUGUGUCCUUCCCGAAGCUGCAUGCUCGGUUGAAGAAGAUGAUGUUCCCUGAAUAGAGUAGGGCUGGUCUUUGGUCAAGGGUUUAUGAGUAGCUGCACUCCUCCUGCUAGACCCUCCAAACAAGCUCUCAAGGAUGUGAUUUUUAAUGAUCAAUUAGUAUUACAAUGGGUGGAAUACUAAUCUCU
This is a non-coding RNA of Rattus norvegicus (Norway rat), 295 nucleotides long. NCBI's taxonomy places the organism in Eukaryota, Metazoa, Chordata, Mammalia, Rodentia, Muridae. The record is from Rfam.